AACCCUAAAUCUGAAUCUUCCUCUCCAUCUCGUGUACUCCUUCUCUUCUCUUCAUCUAGCGUCCGAUUUGGUGUCUCCCUCCCCUAUUCAAGCAUCGAUUUUACAUCUUGAAGGAUACAACAAAAUGUAGGUCUCGUGGUGGUAGCACUUCAAACCGUGGUGCCAGAAGUGGUACAGGUCGUUAUGCUGGCCGUGGUUCUAGAUGGGGAACCUUUACCAAUAUUCACAUUGUUAAUAAGCUAUUAAACGGGGAGUCAUGAAAAAUGAAGGAUACUCAUUUGCAGAUAAAAGAUCAGUUGAUAAGGGCCAAAGCUUACUUGAGUUUUGCAGCUGAUAAGAUUACAGGAGGCUGAUGAAAAUCAAAGAGUGGUUUGAUAGUAUAAAAUAAGUUGAGUGGGAGUUUGAGGAAGAUAAUGAUGAAAUGCUUUUAGUUUUGGGGAACAACUAGAAGGAAUGAGAUAAAAGCUUUUUUGGAAUUUUUAGCGACUCAGGACUCUUCGACUAGCGGGUAUUCUUCUGGCUCGGUGAAGCUGAUCUUAAAGUGGACAUGCAUAAAUUUAUUAUACUUUAAACAUAUAAUAGAAAAUUUGACGUUUUCUUCAUUCCAGUUUUGGUUCCAUUUUACUAAUUUAUGUUGCAUUCUUCACAGUAGGGGUGUGCAAUAAUCGAACCGUUAACCGAAACCAAACCGAAAACCGACAAAACCGAACCGAAAUUAACCGUUGUUUCAGUUAAGUUCACAGUUAAUCGUUGUUUCAGGACGACCAGAAUGCUAUAAACUCACUUUUGGUCGUGCGAAGGGAAACAACUUCAGGCUUGAGUACCAGCCUUCUUAAUACCUCACCACCAAAAUGACUCGGUUCAAGGGAAAUGGUAAGCCAUCAAAGACAAAAGGGUAAAAUAAGCUCAGAUAUACAAAAGGAACAAAUUAACGACAAAAACCAGCAUAAAUACGAAGAAAGGAAGUUGACACACUAAACUGACCCUCCAAGCUUCACCCCAAGAAUAAAAGCAACAAACAAGAAGGCCAACACGGGACCGUGCCUGGCAGGCAUGGGCCGUGUCCCAGUCAACAUUCCUUAGAGAAUAAAGACAAACAGAAAAUGACAAGGGACACGGGGCCGUGUCACCUCAGCACGGGUCAUGGUCAACUCUCAGAUUUGCAUAUCUGGGUUCGUACAACAAGUACAGGGGCCACGGGCCCGUGCCGUUGACACACGGGGCCGUGUGUGAAAAAGAGCUAACAAGAGAAUUAAAGGAAGACAGAGAAGAUGAAGGACAUAGGGCCGUCGUGUGAAUCUCAUGUUUCCAACUACAAAUAGAGGUGCUUGGCUCACUUGCAAACCAUCCCUUGGCAAACUAUUUCUCUCACUUCCACCACUACAACACCAUCAUCCUCCACCACUUUAGUUAGAGUUAGAGUAGUCUCGGGAUCCAAGAUCGAUAGUAAGAGCUUUUGUCAAACUAUGGACAUGCUUGGCUAAUCUCUUACAUCACUUGGUAAAGACGAAAUCUUUUGUGUAUUACUUUUGAUUUCCAACCUUUAGUCACUUUUUAAUUGGGUAUACAUUAAUGACUUUA
Long non-coding RNA from Helianthus annuus (common sunflower), 1581 nucleotides. RefSeq lists it as uncharacterized. The transcript has 6 exons. Lineage: Eukaryota; Viridiplantae; Streptophyta; Magnoliopsida; Asterales; Asteraceae. The record is from RefSeq and is a predicted model, not a curated record.